UGCCUGACCUUGGGCAAGGUCUUUAAUUCAGUGUUGGCUUCCUCACCUAAUAAACAGGAUGAGAGCAUUACUGGCCUCACGAAGUCAUGCUGAGGAUUAAGUGAGACCACAUAGAUCUUGAUUUAGGGCCUGGGCCGACUCUUGGACGCUCACCAAGUGUUGGCUUUGCUUUCUCUCUGGAGGGAACGUGCUGUAAACUGCAAGGAGAGAGUUAGCAGUUUUGGUUGUUGCGCCCCAGUGCUGUUUGUUUUUAACAGAAAGGUUGAUGCAUUGUGCAAAGCUGGACAGACCUGAGUGUGUGUGUGAGUGUGUGAGUGAGUGUGUGUGUGUGUGUGUGUGUGUGUGUGUGUGAAGGGCGCUGUUUGCUGCGGCACCUAUUCUCUGUGUUGCACAAAGGACAAGUUCGCGCUGCCCAGGACCCUCCUGGACUCCCGACACUCCACUUUUGCCACAUCCUGUUGUCUUCUCUCUUUGAUCCUUCUCUUGUUGGCUGCCUGUGCUCUGCCCAAACCUUGACCCUCAGGAGCCACCAUCACUAUAGAAUGAUCUAGUCCUCUAGUCUGUAGCCCUAGGCGUUAGCAAGUAUCAUUGGUGUCCCUGGGCACCUGGCUUUUUCCAGUUUUGUCCCAAGGUCUGCUGACUCAAGCUCAGGGUGGGACAAAGACCUGGCCCUCUCUGGCCUCUUGGAUCUGGAGCGGGGCGGGGGAGGGUGGCAGGCAGGAGGGACAGGGCAGUGACACUCCAGUUAUUGUUUCUUUGAAGUAUCCCCAGUCACACACACCUGCCCACACUAGAGUGAACUUCCCUCUGAAGACGCACUCUGGUCUACAUGAGAAAGUUCCAUUCCUCCUACUUGUGAGCCUUUGACCCACUCCUCGGAGCACUAAUGGCUUCCCUGCAGGAGCACCUGCCUUUCCCUGUCUGAGGUUAUGUGCCUGGACCAGACCUCGGGAAGGGAGGGACAGGGUCGAGUGGGCAGGGCCAUUAUUGGCUUAAAUCCCGGAGCUUGGGAAGGAUUAACUCCUGAAAUCAGAGGCCUUAAGGACUUCCCUGUAUUGCACUCACAAUCAAGAUGCUCCCCGAGUGGGAGGGAACAGGCUGUACCAGUUACUAAGCUCUUUAGUGUGUCCCAACUUCAAGCUCUCCUUCUAAAGUUGGCUUUGUGCUUCGGGAGUGGGGCCACAGCUGGUCCAAGGAGAACAUGGGGGCGCUGGCUCUGACCUGGGGGAGGGGUGUCACACAGGGGGAUGCCAUCCCCUUCCUUUGAGUCCAAUGUAGUGGUGGAAACAGAGCUCAGAAGCCCCAGCCUGGUCAUGAUUCUUGAAUACUCUCAAGUUCUGUGGUGUGGCCAUUAUCUCCUGGUCUGUGUCUCUGCCCUUUCCUCUAUCUGUACUCAAACCCUGAGGCGUGUUAGUCUGAGUAUGCCCAACUGUGAUUUUUAAAUUUUUAAAAAAUUUAGAGGGCAAAACCAGAUCUGUAGUACAAAAUAUACUUUUGUAAAAAAAAAAACUUUCGUUUUGAAAUAAUUAUAGAUUCACAGGCCCGUUGCAAAUAUAGGACAGAGAGGUCCAGUGUCCACUUUAGUCAGCUUCCCCCAAUAGUUACAUUUAUAUGUGUCUUUCAAUAGCCAAACUAGGAAAUUGACAUAGGCACUGUGUGUGUGUGUGUGUGUGUGUGUGUGUGUGUACAGGAAAUUGACAUAGGCACUGUGUGUGUGUGUGUGUGUUUGUGUGUGUGUGUACAGGAAAUUGACAGAAGCACUGUGUGUGUGUGUGUGUGUGUGUACAGGAAAUUGACAUAGGUACUGUGUGUGUGUGUGUGUGUGUGUGUGUGUGUAGGAAAUUGACAUAGGUACUGUGUGUGUGUGUGUGUGUGUGUGUACAGGAAAUUGACAUAGGCACUGUGUGUGUGUGUGUGUGUGUGUGUGUGUGUGUGUACAGGAAAUUGACAUAGGCACUGUGUGUGUGUGUGUGUGUGUGUGUGUACAGGAAAUUGACAUAGGCACUGUGUGUGUGUGUGUGUGUGUGUGUGUGUA
Molecule: long non-coding RNA, 2035 nt
Organism: Acinonyx jubatus (cheetah)
Lineage: Eukaryota; Metazoa; Chordata; Mammalia; Carnivora; Felidae
Exons: 2
Source: RefSeq, a predicted model, not a curated record